UCAAAAACAAAAGAAGAAGAGUUUGAACUCUCUUGGAAAAUGAGUAGGACAAACUUGUGUUGCUAGCUAGGCUGUUUGCACUGAUCCGUGGAGGUGUUGUCGUCGUCUCUGUCUGGAUUAAGGAUCACUGCCUUAAAGUAAGGAGAAGAGAGGAAGGUCCCUUCAUAACGGAGCUAAGGAAUGGCCACUAGCGCAACACUGCACUGGGACCAAGCUUCCUACAUAGGAAAUUUAUGUGGAUACAUACAAACCACAUGCAAACAGCAGACUCGAUCAGGU
RNAcentral lists this long non-coding RNA (279 nucleotides) under Mus musculus (house mouse). Its description in RNAcentral is "ilncRNA-EC34". The record is from RNAcentral. Lineage: Eukaryota; Metazoa; Chordata; Mammalia; Rodentia; Muridae.